GCCUUGCCAGUUCAGCUCUAGUAUUCCCGGAUCUACCCUUCAUGGAUUCCCCCUCGAUCUUUUGGACUCCAGGUCCGCCUAGAUCGCUCUGCGAUCUUUAUCCUGAUAUCAGACUUGAUAAUCGAAGUUCAACACCGUGAUUUCACGGUCUGUUAUCUUAUUUGAUCGGAGAUCGCUCCUGAGAUACGGCGGAGCUCUGUUUCGAAAGCUCUAAUUCUCAAAGGAUAUAUCUAGUUGGUGUAUGAGCAGCAGAUGAUUCGAGAUUUCACUUGAAGGCGGGGGCGAUAGAACAAUUACAGAAUCUCUGUUGCUUGAUGAUGUGACCGUGGACCGUGGGCUGUGAUUUUGUUGAUUGAUUAAGGAGCGAUGGAAGGAGAUAGGGGGUGGAGCUGUGUGGUUUAUUUACGAGGAUGAUGUAUAAGAUAUAUAUACCGGGACUAAAAGGCCAGGAGGCUGAGAGGUCUUGUUUAUUAUCUGUCAUCCGACCUUUGCCAUGACAGCCUGAGAUCACGCGGCUCUUUCACGUGGAACUCCAACUCCAGCUUAGCUGCCAGUUCAUCAAUUGCACAAUAUUGCAAUCUGUGAGGCUGACUCGAAAGGUAUUCUCUCACUUAUAUCUCCAAUACGAAUUUCCUUAAUUUUUAGAAUCAAUCAAUCAGUCAUACUUACAUAACUUAGAAUCAGUCAUUUGCAAGAGAUCAUGAUUCGUUGUUUAUGUAGAUAAUAUGGGAUCACUAAGAGAUUGCGCAUCUAAAACUAGUUUCAGCUUUGGAAACUAGCAGUUCCCUAUGGUGGAGUUCUUGAAAAAAAACGCCCCACACACAACACACAUCCUGGAAAUUGAUUUUGAUCUUUUAUCGGGAUUACUCUAGUCUCCGAUCAGGAGUUUUUGCCUGCACCAAGCAUCUGUUCAUUCUAACAUCCCACUAUAACUAGUCAUCAUUCUUUACCGACAGUGCAGGUUCAUUUCAUUUUCAUGCCUUGAAAUUCAAAUCAUAUUGUAUUUAUAUCCACUGAAGAAUUCAGAUUUGCUAUCAGAGCUAACCUGGUCAUGAGUUUUAUUUACUAGAUCUAGUUUCUCAAUUUCUAGCUCUUGUGAUACACUGAAAUCGGAGUUCCUUUCUUAAUCAGAUCCUUUUUACUGCCAUAAUUG
RNAcentral lists this long non-coding RNA (1153 nucleotides) under Populus davidiana x Populus alba var. pyramidalis. RNAcentral describes it as "partial RNA3". Lineage: Eukaryota; Viridiplantae; Streptophyta; Magnoliopsida; Malpighiales; Salicaceae. The record is from RNAcentral.